This 253-nucleotide ribosomal RNA is filed under the name uncultured bacterium. RNAcentral's name for it is "partial 16S ribosomal RNA". It matches the Rfam family "Bacterial small subunit ribosomal RNA", at positions 524 to 776 of the family's 1533-position model. The record is from RNAcentral.
UACGUAGGUGGCAAGCGUUGUCCGGAUUUACUGGGUGUAAAGGGCGUGCAGCCGGAGAGACAAGUCAGGUGUGAAAUCCACGGGCUCAACUCGUGAACUGCAUUUGAAACUGUUUCCCUUGAGUGUCGGAGAGGUAAUCGGAAUUCCUUGUGUAGCGGUGAAAUGCGUAGAUAUAAGGAAGAACACCAGUGGCGAAGGCGGAUUACUGGACGAUAACUGACGGUGAGGCGCGAAAGCGUGGGGAGCAAACAGG